UGGGGAAUCUUGGACAAUGGGCGCAAGCCUGAUCCAGCCAUGCCGCGUGGAUGAUGAAGGCCCUAGGGUUGUAAAAUCCUUUCGUUGGGGACGAUAAUGACGGUACCCAAAGAAGAAGCUCCGGCUAACUUCGUGCCAGCAGCCGCGGUAAUACGAAGGGGGCUAGCGUUGUUCGGAUUUACUGGGCGUAAAGCGCGUGUAGGCGGGUCGUUAAGUUGGGGGUGAAAUCCCGAGGCUCAACCUCGGAACUGCCUUCAAAACUGGCGACCUGGACCUAAGUAGAGGCAAGUGGAAUUGCGAGUGUAGAGGUGAAAUUCGUAGAUAUUCGCAGGAACACCAGUGGCGAAGGCGACUUGCUGGACUUAUGGUGACGCUGAGACGCGAAAGCGUGGGGAGCAAACAGGAUUAGAUACCCGUGUAGUCCCUGAGCGGGCUGGCAAGGCGCAU
RNAcentral lists this ribosomal RNA (447 nucleotides) under uncultured bacterium. RNAcentral describes it as "bacterial SSU rRNA". It matches the Rfam family "Bacterial small subunit ribosomal RNA", at positions 355 to 825 of the family's 1533-position model. The record is from RNAcentral.